Molecule: long non-coding RNA, 462 nt
Filed under: Parus major (Great Tit)
Lineage: Eukaryota; Metazoa; Chordata; Aves; Passeriformes; Paridae
Description: lncRNA (ENSPMJG00000001523.1)
Source: RNAcentral
UUUAUGAUUCCUUUUAGGGACUGUAACACUGGCAUAGCAAGAAACAUUAGCUGAGGGAUCAUAAAGCAACUUUCAAAUUACCAGCCAGUACUGCUGGGGCACAGAAGAAACCAUUGUGGUGCAAAGUCCACUGAGCAGAGCAUGAAUGAAGAUCUGGAACUUCUGCAUGACUCUGAAGGGAGAUCAAGUUGGCAGUGGGUCAGAACAAUAUAUUUCCUGAGCAGAACCUACACCAGUGGACAUCUGAUCACACAAAAGUCUUGUAUAUUCCAGCCCCAAUGCACUGUAUCAGAGAUACUUCUGCUGCUCUGUAUUUCCUGUGUCUGGGUUGUUGUCAGGCAGCCCCAUUUUACCCAAACAAUGCAAAUGAGCCAUAAAAUAUUGAUAAAUCUUAUCUGCACUUUUUCACCUUUUGGGGAUAAAUUCCGAUCUUCACUGCAAGUAGCAACUAUCUCCACUUAA